This 468-nucleotide ribosomal RNA is filed under the name uncultured bacterium. RNAcentral's name for it is "partial 16S ribosomal RNA". It matches the Rfam family "Bacterial small subunit ribosomal RNA", at positions 28 to 507 of the family's 1533-position model. The record is from RNAcentral.
GACGAACGCUGGCGGCGUGCUUAACGCAUGCAAGUCGAACGGAAAGGCCCUGCUUUUGUGGGGUGCUCGAGUGGCGAACGGGUGAGUAACACGUGAGUAACCUGCCCUUGACUUUGGGAUAACUUCAGGAAACUGGGGCUAAUACCGGAUAGGAGCUCCUGCUGCAUGGUGGGGGUGGGAAAGUUUCGGCGGUUGGGGAUGGACUCGCGGCUUAUCAGCUUGUUGGUGGGGUAGUGGCUUACCAAGGCUUUGACGGGUAGCCGGCCUGAGAGGGUGACCGGCCACAUUGGGACUGAGAUACGGCCCAGACUCCUACGGGAGGCAGCAGUGGGGAAUAUUGCACAAUGGGCGGAAGCCUGAUGCAGCAACGCCGCGUGCGGGAUGACGGCCUUCGGGUUGUAAACCGCUUUCGCCUGUGACGAAGCGUGAGUGACGGUAAUGGGUAAAGAAGCACCGGCUAACUACGUG